RNAcentral lists this ribosomal RNA (402 nucleotides) under uncultured bacterium. RNAcentral describes it as "bacterial SSU rRNA". It matches the Rfam family "Bacterial small subunit ribosomal RNA", at positions 355 to 774 of the family's 1533-position model. The record is from RNAcentral.
UCGGGAAUUUUGGGCAAUGGGCGAAAGCCUGACCCAGCAACGCCGCGUGAGGGAUGAAGUAUUUCGGUAUGUAAACCUCGAAAGAAUGGGAAGAAUAAAUGACGGUACCAUUUAUAAGCUCCGGCUAACUACGUGCCAGCAGCCGCGGUAAUACGUAGGGAACAAGCGUUGUUCGGAUUUACUGGGCGUAAAGGGCGCGUAGGCGGCGCGGUAAGUCACUUGUGAAAUCUCUGAGCUUAACUCAGAACGGCCAAGUGAUACUGCUGUGCUAGAGUGCGGAAGAGGCAACCGGAAUUCUUGGUGUAGCGGUGAAAUGCGUAGAUAUCAAGAGGAACACCUGAGGCGAAGGCGGGUUGCUGGGCCGACACUGACGCUGAUGCGCGAAAGCCAGGGGAGCAAACG